UGACUGUAAUGUUUGUUGAAUUUUUGGUGAUUUUCACCAAAAGUACGAUAACUUGGAGUAAUUUACCCCGCGUUGAUGACAAGAAGCAAAUGGACUAAAAAUACAGCGAAUACGUUUGGACCAUCUAAGCAAUGGAGUUAAAGAAAAAUAUCUGGUGAACAUCUCAGCAGUUGGACUAAAUGACUAUUUCAAUGAAAUGUUGAUGUUAUUGGGGAAGAAAUUGGGCAAAGUCUUAAGAGAUUAUGGACUAUAGAUGAAAAAAAGAAUUGAUAUUGCUUUUGAGAUGACUCAUCGUCAAAGAUUGUUAGCAGUGGAGUUCAAUGUAAUGAACAUUGGUGCGCUACAAAUGCAAAAGAAGUGUGUUAGAAAGAAGUAAAAUCAAUGGACUCUGGCUGCAAAUGGAGUAAUUGGGAAAAAAUUGCACGUUGUGUCAGCAGAUAAUGGACAACAAACAUGAUGCCGAUACAAGUGAAAUUGAAGGGAAACGAUGAUAAUAAUGCUGUUAAUGGUAAUUGUUCAAGGAAAACCAGCCCAGAAUGAUGUUCAGUGAAUAUUGCUUAUGGUAAUAUAGAUAGAUAUAGUUAAGAUUAUAGUUUGGCUCCACUAUAUGUAUAAUUGUCAAUCUAAACAAAGUUGGAAGUUCCCCUUCCUUCCUACUUUAUUUAGAUGAAGUUUAAGUUAAAUGCUUUGUCUGUCAAAAUUGCCCCACACAAUUUUGAUAGAUAAAUGCAAUAAAAUAAUAUUGUAAAUUGUCUUUUUGUCAAUAGUUUAAAGUAAUUAUAAUACUCCUGCAAUGAUCAUAAUGAACCGGAAUAAGAAUUGAAGUAAUAUGAAUAAUUUAAAUGAUUUACUGAAUAAUUUGUAUAAUUUGAUGAAUAUCGUGACCUGUAAUAUAA
Molecule: long non-coding RNA, 896 nt
Organism: Xenia sp. Carnegie-2017
Lineage: Eukaryota; Metazoa; Cnidaria; Anthozoa; Malacalcyonacea; Xeniidae
Exons: 3
Source: RefSeq, a predicted model, not a curated record